GCCAACUGUUGGGAUAGCUCAGUUAGUAGAGAAUGAGACUCUUAAUCUCAGGGUUGUGGGUUUGAAGCCCACAUUGGGCA
This is a non-coding RNA of Podarcis lilfordi (Lilford's wall lizard), 80 nucleotides long. The record is from the annotation of a GenBank genome assembly. Lineage: Eukaryota; Metazoa; Chordata; Lepidosauria; Squamata; Lacertidae.